CCUACGGGCGGCAGCAGUGAGGAAUAUUGGUCAAUGGACGAGAGUCUGAACCAGCCGAGUAGCGUGAAGGAUGACUGCCCUAUGGGUUGUAAACUUCUUUUAUAUGGGAAUAAAAUGUUUCACGUGUGGGAUUUUGUAUGUACCAUAUGAAUAAGGAUCGGCUAACUCCGUGCCAGCAGCCGCGGUAAUACGGAGGAUCCGAGCGUUAUCCGGAUUUAUUGGGUUUAAAGGGAGCGUAGGUGGAUUGUUAAGUCAGUUGUGAAAGUUUGCGGCUCAACCGUAAAAUUGCAGUUGAAACUGGCAGUCUUGAGUACAGUAGAGGUGGGCGGAAUUCGUGGUGUAGCGGUGAAAUGCUUAGAUAUCACGAAGAACUCCGAUUGCGAAGGCAGUUCACUGGACUGCAACUGACACUGAGGCUCGAAAGUGUGGGUAUCAAACAGGAUUAGAUACCCGAGUAGUC
Molecule: ribosomal RNA, 460 nt
Filed under: uncultured bacterium
Lineage: Bacteria
Description: partial 16S ribosomal RNA
Rfam family: Bacterial small subunit ribosomal RNA
Source: RNAcentral